UAGAAAUUACUUCAAAAAGAAUCCUAAAAAAUGUAAAUAUUAUAAUUGUGGAAAAAUAGGACACAUAUCCACAGAAUGCAAAGAACCUAGACAAAAACAAAUAAAAGAAAUCCAGUUAGAUAAUGAUGAAUUUAUAGAUAUAGAUAUAGUUAAGAAAGAAAUAGAUACAGACAACUUUUCUAGUGAAGAUGAAAUAAUUGAAUCAGAUAUAACAAGUUAAGAAGAAGAUGAAUCAGACUGAAAUAGGAGAAACAAGUGAUAAAGAUAUAAUAAUAGACUAUAC
This 283-nucleotide long non-coding RNA is filed under the name Nicotiana benthamiana. RNAcentral describes it as "long non-coding RNA (NBEN_LNC033461)". Lineage: Eukaryota; Viridiplantae; Streptophyta; Magnoliopsida; Solanales; Solanaceae. The record is from RNAcentral.